GACGAACGCUGGCGGCGUGCUUAACACAUGCAAGUCGAACGGAAAGGCCCUGCUUUUGUGGGGUGCUCGAGUGGCGAACGGGUGAGUAACACGUGAGUAACCUGCCCUUGACUUUGGGAUAACUUCAGGAAACUGGGGCUAAUACCUGAUAGGAGCUCCUGCUGCAUGGUGGGGGUUGGAAAGUUUCGGCGGUUGGGGAUGGACUCGCGGCUUAUCAGCUUGUUGGUGGGGUAGUGGCUUACCAAGGCUUUGACGGGUAGCCGGCCUGAGAGGGUGACCGGCCACAUUGGGACUGAGAUACGGCCCAGACUCAUACGGGAGGCAGCAGUGGGGAAUAUUGCACACUGGGCGGAAGCCUGAUGCAGCAACGCCGCGUGCGGGAUGACGGCCUUCGGGUUGUAAACCGCUUUCGCCUGUGACGAAGCGUGAGUGACGGUAAUGGGUAAAGAAGCACCGGCUAACUACGUG
RNAcentral lists this ribosomal RNA (468 nucleotides) under uncultured bacterium. RNAcentral describes it as "partial 16S ribosomal RNA". It matches the Rfam family "Bacterial small subunit ribosomal RNA", at positions 28 to 507 of the family's 1533-position model. The record is from RNAcentral.